UUGGGAACGAGAAUGGGAAUUGGGAACGGGAAUGGGAACAGGAAUGGGAAUUGAGAAUGGGAAUUGGGAAUGGGAACAGGAAUGGGAAUGGGAAUUGAGAAUGGGAAUUGGGAACGGGAAUGGGAAUGGGAAUUGGGAACGGGAAUGAGCCCUUCCCGGCGACUUCACCUCUGCAAGGCCUCUGGAAGGCGGCUGCCCUGCCCUGCCAUUGGAUGUCCCCAGCCACUGUGAUCCCCUGGGCACCCCAGAAGACGCGGGAUGUAAAACGGGCGUUCUCCAUCUGGAGGAAUUUCGGGAGGGGGCAGUUGAGCCUUCAUUUCUCAUUAGGCCCCGGCGCAGCUCUGCUUUCCCCGUUAAUUGGGUGCCGUUCAUUCUCUCCGCCCCAUUACUCGCCGCCGCACCCAGAAUUUAUAUCCGUUUGGAUUAAUCGCGUCCGCCUGGUUAAAUCCCAAACAGCCACUCGUUCAGAAAGGGAGUUAUUACCUCGCUUUGCCGGGACUUCCACUUUGCCUUAAUUUCCCUGGAGCCUCGUUUGCCUUGCUGUGCCUUCUCUCCCCUCCCCAGCUCCCCUCGGGCUCGGCUGGGAGCGUGUGAUGCUCGUGUGCCAUCCGGGCUCGUUCCACGUGCAGCUCUUGCCAGGCUCAGAGAACAGGAACCAUUCGGGUGCUUCACAGACUCGCUUUUGUGGAGGAGGGAUGUGGAGGGCAGGGAGCCAGAUGUGUGCUCUUCCUGGCACCUGAGGGCCGCAGGGCCAAUGCUGGCGGAUUCUGAGGAGCUGGAAAGGGUGAUGACAGUGUACAGCGUGGUGCAGGUAAAUGGACUCUGUGGCCAGAGGAUGAUGAGGAGCGUGGAUGUGUCCAUACCUGAGGUAGCUGACUCUGUGGCCCAAGGGCCUGUGUGUUUUUCCAGAGGUUGCCCACUGCAGGUGGCCUGUCUGGGGUGGGACAACCCAUGGAGCUGAUGGUGGAGAGGAUCUCCAGGGGCACUGGAGGCAGCUGAGUGGUGCUGGCUGGCUCCUGAUGGGGGUGCUUGGUAAGCAGGUUUUCACAGGUGUCCAAGCAGUGGUGAUGAGCAGAGUGCCUGUCUGCAGGGAUUGCAGUGUUGGCCAAGCCUUUUGUUGUUCCUUAAUCCUUCAGGAGACAUAAAAAUAAGAUUGAAUCAACAGCAUGGUGAAGAUAAUUUAAACAGUGGAAGGAGCUGAAAUUGUCUGGACAAAGCAGGGAACAGUCAGUGAAGGGCAGGACUAACUUUUUUCCCAUUGGAAAAACCCAUUUUGAUGCCACAACUGCUGACUUGGCAGGUGGAAUCUGCUGUGAGCUGGGCUUAGACAAGGAAAGUACAUCCCAAGAGUUAAUGCAGAUUUAUACAGUGAAGGACUUUUCAGUCCUGCUUCCAAAAAAGCAGAGUUUUCACAAGCUGGAUGUUCCAGGCAGACACUUUGCAGUGGUUUUGAAGAGCAAGGAUGAUGGAGAGCUGGAUCAAAAUAUACACAGAAUAAAGAGCUAUGGUAAAAUAUACACAGAAAAUACACAGAAUAAUAGGAAACAACUGCACCUGGGAAGCAGAGGAAACAAGGAGAAGUAAAGGGUGAAAAAGAGAAGAAAAACCCCACAUGUAAGUGCGUAAAUACUUGGUGAGGCCAAAGUAACAACAGGAACAUCCUGGGAGGAAAAAAAAAAACACAAACAAAAACACGAAGCAAGAUUUGACUGCAAAAAUGAAACAGUGAGGAGGACAUGGAUGAGCUGUGCCCUGCCCUUUCUAAGGAAGAAGAAGAAGAAGAAAACACCACUAAAUACUGAGAAAAAACAUGGAAAAGAAGAAGAUACCCUACUUCACCCCUGGCUUCCUUCACUCCCCCCUCAUUUCCACACCACACAACCACUGCCCCCCAUGGGCCAGCACUCCCUGUUUGAGACUCGUGGCUAAUUUAGGCCAAGUUCAGUAAAGAUGAAUUCUUUACCUGUGUGAUGGUGAUGAAUAAAGCCUGAGCCUGGCUGUUAAUGUGUACUGUCAAUGAUUGUCAGUCCAGUAAAGCCUGCUUUAAACCUUCAAA
Molecule: long non-coding RNA, 2056 nt
Organism: Myiozetetes cayanensis
Lineage: Eukaryota; Metazoa; Chordata; Aves; Passeriformes; Tyrannidae
Exons: 5
Source: RefSeq, a predicted model, not a curated record